Molecule: transfer RNA, 67 nt
Filed under: Protagonista lugubris
Lineage: Eukaryota; Metazoa; Arthropoda; Insecta; Blattodea; Blattidae
Description: tRNA-Ile
Source: RNAcentral
AAUAGAGUGCCUGACAAAAAGGAUUAUCGUGAUAGGAUAAAUAAUGUAGUUUUAAAUACCUUUAUUU